This 468-nucleotide ribosomal RNA is filed under the name uncultured bacterium. Its description in RNAcentral is "partial 16S ribosomal RNA". It matches the Rfam family "Bacterial small subunit ribosomal RNA", at positions 28 to 507 of the family's 1533-position model. The record is from RNAcentral.
GACGAACGCUGGCGGCGUGCUUAACACAUGCAAGUCGAACGGAAAGGCCCUGCUUUUGUGGGGUGCUCGAGUGGCGAACGGGUGAGUAACACGUGAGUAACCUGCCCUUGACUUUGGGAUAACUUCAGGAAACUGGGGCUAAUACCGGAUAGGAGCUCCUGCUGCAUGGUGGGGGUUGGAACGUUUCGGCGGUUGGGGAUGGACUCGCGGCUUAUCAGCUUGUUGGUGGGGUAGUGGCUUACCAAGGCUUUGACGGGUAGCCGGCCUGAGAGGGUGACCGGCGACAUUGGGACUAAGAUACGGCCCAGACGCCAACGGGAGGCAGCAGGGGGGAAUAUGGCACAAUGGGCGGAAGCCGGAUGCAGCAACGCCGCGGGCGGGAUGACGGCCUUCGGGUUGUAAACCGCUUUCGCCUGUGACGAAGCGUGAGUGACGGUAAUGGGUAAAGAAGCACCGGCUAACUACGUG